ACGAACGCUGGCGGCGUGCUUAACACAUGCAAGUCGAGCGGUAAGGCCCCUUCGGGAGUACACGAGCGGCGAACGGGUGAGUAACACGUGAGCAAUCUGCCCUUCACAUCGGGAUAACCCUCGGAAACGAGAGCUAAUACCGAAUACGACCACUUCAGGCAUCUGAUGGUGGUGGAAAGUUCCGGCGGUGAAGGAUGAGCUCGCGGCCUAUCAGCUUGUUGGUGGGGUAACGGCCCACCAAGGCAACGACGGGUAGCCGGCCUGAGAGGGUGACCGGCCACACCGGGACUGAGACACGGCCCAGACUCCUACGGGAGGCAGCAGUGGGGAAUAUUGGACAAUGGGCGAAAGCCUGAUCCAGCAACGCCGCGUGAGGGAUGACGGCCUUCGGGUUGUAAACCUCUUUCAGCAGGGACGAAGCGCAAGUGACGGUACCUGCAGAAGAAGCACCGGCCAACUACGUGCCAGCCGCCGCCGUAAUAC
Molecule: ribosomal RNA, 483 nt
Filed under: uncultured bacterium
Lineage: Bacteria
Description: bacterial SSU rRNA
Rfam family: Bacterial small subunit ribosomal RNA
Source: RNAcentral